This 45-nucleotide non-coding RNA is filed under the name Schistosoma margrebowiei. The record is from RNAcentral. Lineage: Eukaryota; Metazoa; Platyhelminthes; Trematoda; Strigeidida; Schistosomatidae.
AUCCAGCUGACGAGUCCUAAAUAGGGCGAAACGUACAUCCUAGAU